Molecule: ribosomal RNA, 434 nt
Filed under: uncultured bacterium
Lineage: Bacteria
Description: partial 16S ribosomal RNA
Rfam family: Bacterial small subunit ribosomal RNA
Source: RNAcentral
AGCGAACGCUGGCGGCAGGCCUAACACAUGCAAGUCGAACGAACCUUUCGGGGUUAGUGGCGGACGGGUGAGUAACACGUGGGAACGUGCCUUUAGGUUCAGCAUACCUCAGGGAAACUUGUGCUAAUACCGAAUGUGCCCUUCGGGGGAAAGAUUUAUCGCCUUUAGAGCGGCCCGCGUCUGAUUAGCUAGUUGGUUGAGGUAAUGGCUCACCAAGGCGACGAUCAGUAGCUGGUCUGAGAGGAUGAUCAGCCACAUUGGGACUGAGACACGGCCCAAACUCCUACGGGAGGCAGCAGUGGGGAAUCUGGCGCAAGGGGCGAAAGCCUGACGCAGCCAUGCCGCGUGAAUGAUGAAGGUCUUAGGAUUGUAAAAUUCUUUCACCGGGGACGAUAAUGACGGUACCCGGAGAAGAAGCCCCGGCUAACUUCGUG